This 802-nucleotide ribosomal RNA is filed under the name Escherichia coli. RNAcentral describes it as "partial 23S ribosomal RNA". It matches the Rfam family "Bacterial large subunit ribosomal RNA", at positions 390 to 1191 of the family's 2925-position model. Lineage: Bacteria; Pseudomonadati; Pseudomonadota; Gammaproteobacteria; Enterobacterales; Enterobacteriaceae. The record is from RNAcentral.
GCACAUACUGUGAGCUCGAUGAGUAGGGCGGGACACGUGGUAUCCUGUCUGAAUAUGGGGGGACCAUCCUCCAAGGCUAAAUACUCCUGACUGACCGAUAGUGAACCAGUACCGUGAGGGAAAGGCGAAAAGAACCCCGGCGAGGGGAGUGAAAAAGAACCUGAAACCGUGUACGUACAAGCAGUGGGAGCACAGAGCAAUCUGUGUGACUGCGUACCUUUUGUAUAAUGGGUCAGCGACUUAUAUUCUGUAGCAAGGUUAACCGAAUAGGGGAGCCGAAGGGAAACCGAGUCUUAACUGGGCGUUAAGUUGCAGGGUAUAGACCCGAAACCCGGUGAUCUAGCCAUGGGCAGGUUGAAGGUUGGGUAACACUAACUGGAGGACCGAACCGACUAAUGUUGAAAAAUUAGCGGAUGACUUGUGGCUGGGGGUGAAAGGCCAAUCAAACCGGGAGAUAGCUGGUUCUCCCCGAAAGCUAUUUAGGUAGCGCCUCGUGAAUUCAUCUCCGGGGGUAGAGCACUGUUUCGGCAAGGGGGUCAUCCCGACUUACCAACCCGAUGCAAACUGCGAAUACCGGAGAAUGUUAUCACGGGAGACACACGGCGGGUGCUAACGUCCGUCGUGAAGAGGGAAACAACCCAGACCGCCAGCUAAGGUCCCAAAGUCAUGGUUAAGUGGGAAACGAUGUGGGAAGGCCCAGACAGCCAGGAUGUUGGCUUAGAAGCAGCCAUCAUUUAAAGAAAGCGUAAUAGCUCACUGGUCGAGUCGGCCUGCGCGGAAGAUGUAACGGGGCUAAACCAUG